RNAcentral lists this ribosomal RNA (495 nucleotides) under uncultured bacterium. RNAcentral describes it as "partial 16S ribosomal RNA". It matches the Rfam family "Bacterial small subunit ribosomal RNA", at positions 28 to 507 of the family's 1533-position model. The record is from RNAcentral.
GAUGAACGCUGGCGGCGUGCCUAAUACAUGCAAGUAGAACGCUGAAGGAGGAGCUUGCUCUUCUGGAUGAGUUGCGAACGGGUGAGUAACGCGUAGGUAACCUGCCUGGUAGCGGGGGAUAACUAUUGGAAACGAUAGCUAAUACCGCAUGACAACAGUUAUUGCAUGAUAACUGUUUAAAAGGGGCAACUGCUCCACUACCAGAUGGACCUGCGUUGUAUUAGCUAGUUGGUGAGGUAACGGCUCACCAAGGCGACGAUACAUAGCCGACCUGAGAGGGGGGUCGGCCACAAUGGGACUGAGACACGGCCCAGACUCCUAAGGGAGGCAGCAGUAGGGAAUCUUCGGCAAUGGACGGAAGUCUGGCCGGGCAACGCCGCGUGAGUGAAGAAGGUUUUCGGAUCGUAAAGCUCUGUUGUAAGGGAAGAACGAGUGUGAGAGUGGAAAGUUCACACUGUGACGGUAUCUUACCAGAAAGGGACGGCUAACUACGUG